UUAAAGUUUGAUUCUUGCUUUUUUAUUAAUUAUUUAAUUUGGUUAUAUAUAAAUAUUUUUAAAUUAAUUAUUAGUAGUAAUUAAUAUUAAUUUUUGAUUUUUAUUCAUUUAGAAAUUUAAUUAAUUCCGAUAAAUAUUGUGCCAGCAUUCGCGGUUAUACAAUUGGUGUAGGUUAAUAUUAUUGAAAAUCAUUUUAUUCGAAAUUUUAAUUUUAUUAUUUAGGUGAAAUUUAUAAUUUAAAUUUGUUUCUUAAAUAUUUUUUUUAAUGUUAAAUCUUUAUUAUAAACUAGGAUUAGAUACCCUAUUAUUUUAGAAUUAAAGUAAUUUCAGAAUAUUAUUAGUUAUGUUCUUUAAAACUCAAAGAAUUUGGCGGUAAAUUAUUCUUUCUAGAGGAACCUGUUUCUUAAUUGAUAAACCACGAUUAUUUCAACCUUUAUUAUACUUGUAUACCUCUAUACUAUGGUAUGUUUUUUUAGAAUAAUUUUCUUUUUUUUUAUAAAUUUUAUAUUAGGUCAAGGUGCAGUUUUAUGAAGGUAGAAAUGGGUUACUUAAAUUUUAUAUAAUUAGGAUAAUUUAAAACUAUAAUUGUUAAUUUGAAAUUGGAUUUAGAAGUAACUUAUAUAAAAUAAUAUAUUUGAAUAUUUGCUCUAAUUUAUGUACAUAUCGCCCGUCAUUCUCAAUAAUAUGAGACAAGUCGUAACAAAGUAGUUUUACCGGAAGGUAAGUCUAGAAAGUA
This 736-nucleotide non-coding RNA is filed under the name Cicadella viridis. The record is from RNAcentral. Lineage: Eukaryota; Metazoa; Arthropoda; Insecta; Hemiptera; Cicadellidae.